RNAcentral lists this ribosomal RNA (265 nucleotides) under uncultured bacterium. Its description in RNAcentral is "partial 16S ribosomal RNA". It matches the Rfam family "Bacterial small subunit ribosomal RNA", at positions 88 to 354 of the family's 1533-position model. The record is from RNAcentral.
AUGGCGACCGGCGCACGGGUGAGUAACACGUAUCCAACCUGCCGAUGACUCGGGGAUAGCCUUUCGAAAGAAAGAUUAAUACCCGAUGGCAUAGUUCUUCCGCAUGGUAGAACUAUUAAAGAAUUUCGGUCAUCGAUGGAGAUGCGUUCCAUUAGCUUGCCGGCGGGGUAACGGCCCACCGGGGCGACGAUCAGUAGGGGUUCUGAGAGGAAGGUCCCCCACACUGGAACUGAGACACGGUCCAAACUCCUACGGAAGGCAGCAG